UACCAGCACCCCGAGUGGUCGGGACGAUUAUUGGGCCUAAAGCAUCCGUAGCCGGUUUUACAAGUCCUCCGUUAAAUCCAGCUGCUUAGCAGAUGGGCUGCGGAGGAUACUAUAAGACUAGGAGGCAGGAGAGGCAAGCGGUACUCAGUGGGUAGGGGUAAAAUCCGUUGAUCCAUUGAAGACCACCAGUGGCGAAGGCGGCUUGCCAGAACGCGCUCGACGGUGAGGGAUGAAAGCUGGGGGAGCAAACCGG
RNAcentral lists this ribosomal RNA (253 nucleotides) under uncultured bacterium. RNAcentral describes it as "partial 16S ribosomal RNA". It matches the Rfam family "Archaeal small subunit ribosomal RNA", at positions 474 to 727 of the family's 1478-position model. The record is from RNAcentral.